GCGGGAGGUGGCGUCAGAUAGACGCACCUCGGCUCCUCUAUAAAAGGGCCAGAGUCACCCCCUCCUCUCGAUUGGAUUCCUCUCUGUCCGUCUCUGCUCUCCUGGUCCGGAAACCGGUAUCCAGUCGGUGUGCGAAAAAGGCGGGCUAGGGUUUGAGAUCGAGUGGAGAAAUUGGAAAAGGGGGACAGAGAUUGAAGCGUCGGGGUAAUAGAUCUAAUACAACUCCUUUAUUGCAAGGAAUGCCCUCUGAAGGUAUGUUGAUAUCCCAAUUUGAAGUAGCGUAACAGAACUUCAGAUUUUCCGAGAAACCGGUAUCCAGUCGGUGUACGAAAAGAGGCGGGCUAGGGUUCGAAAUUGGAAAAGGGAGACAGAGAUUGAAGCGUCAGGGUAAUAGGUUUAAUACAACUUAUUUAUUGCAAGAAACAGCCUCUUAAGGUAUGUUGAUGCCCCAAUUUAAAGUAGCGUAACAGAACUUCAGAUUUUCCGAGGUUUGUUUUUGUGCGAGCAAACAUUUGUGGUUUUGUAAAAGGUUGUUGUUUAUGAUGAGCAAGACAUGGGAGCCUAAUUGCGAUGUUGGUCACUCUUUCUUGCGGCAGAUGUUUAUUAGGGUUUCAAUGUACAGGUGAGAGACACGGGCCAUCAGUUCUGUCUUGCAUGUGAGUGUUAUGUACGCUUUUACAUUCUUCAACACUGUGUUUUCACUUUUGCUGAGUCCUAUGACGUAUUCAUCCCAGUUAAUUACUCAGGAUGGACGCUUUUGAGCGGAAUUCGUGGUACUCCUCGCAUUCCUUAAUCUCGAGGGAUUGCACCGGACUGUGUCCUGGCGACAUCAUAGUUUUCAUUCAGUCGGCGUAUAAUUUGCUCUGGUUCAACUGGUAUGCAGUAUCUAUCUUCGCGUAUACCUCUUGGUGCUGGAUUCAGAUAAUAUGGUAUACCUAUUUACUCGCAUGCUUUUCUUUUUUAACAGUUCAUCGUUGCUUUACAUCUUUUAUUGUCCUGUUGUCGCUGAAGGUCACGAUUCUUGGCUUUUCUAACACUUUUAUUCCCGCAAGUGAAAGGUGUUUUAAGGAUGCAUGAAAGAGUUGCCUCAUACGGGGGUGUUUAUUUUGUGGGAACAGUUGUCCCCCGAAAUCUUAAUUCUGUUUGGUUACGCAGUCCCUGCAAAGUCAUUCCAUCCAGAGGGUGCAAGAAAACAUGGUUCUCACGCUGGAAAGUAAUCAUGGUCCAAUGAUAAAAGUUCUCGUGUUUUUGGUUUUUAGAAUAAAAAAAAGGCAUAAACUAAAUUGUUCAUCAACAUGUUCCUCGAUCACUUGGUAGCGGGUAAACAGCGUGAAUAUUAUGUUGCUGACUUUUCUCUGCUGCCGGGACUAUAUCCUGGCAAUAUCACAGUUUUCAGUCAGUCAGCGUAUAAUUUGCCGGUUCAAGAGGUAUGCGAUGUCUAUCUUGGUGUAUACCUCUUUGUGCUGGAUUCAAAUAAUAUGGUAUACCUAUUUGCUGAUACUUUUCUUUUUUGUCGCAUUUGAGCAAUCAUUUGCACGAGGCAGCAGACCACAUGUUGAAAUAUUGCGGGUUUGUAGAAAUUGAUGGUUCGCGUUAGCUUUGCCAACAAAGUUUUGGUGCUAAAAUGUUUCUAGCUGAAGGUCACGAUUUUGGGCUUUUCUAACACUUUUUAUUCAAGCAAGAGAAGGGUGUUUUAAGGAUGCAUGGAAGAGUUGCCCCACACAGGGGUGUUUAUUUUGUGGGAACCACGUCCCCGAAAUCUUAAUUCUGCUCGGUUACAUCGUCCCUGCAAGGUCAUUCCGUCCGGAGGGUGCAAGUAAACAUAGUUCUCACUCUGGAAAGUAAUCGUGGUCCCAUAGUAAAGUUCUCUUGUUUUUGGUUUUCAGACCAAAAAAAAAAAAAAAGGGUGCCUCGCAUGUCCAUAAACUAAAUUGUUCUGGAUGCAUCAACAUGUUCCUCGAUUGCCUGGUAGCAGGGACCACAUUCUGACAAGAUUAUAAUCCUCGUUCGGUAAGGGUAUGGAUUGCUGGUUCAAGAGGUAUGGAAUAUCUAUUUUGCACUCGUAUCUCUUGGUGCUGGAUUCAAAUAUUUUUCUUUUGAAAUAAAAAGUUACAUAUGCGCGUAUUAAUACUGUUUGCCAAGGGGUUACUGUGCAUUUACAAAAUUUUUGCAAGUCUGCUAGACUGAAAUAAUGUAACGUAGACAAAUUGGUUGUAUUUGAGCAAUCAUUCGUUAGAGGCAGCAAGCCACAUCUCGAAAUAUGGCAAAGUUUUUAGAAAUCGAUGCUGCGCGUCUACUUUACCAGCAAGUUCCUAUGUUGGUUUUCAGGUAAUUCUCUUUUGUUUCACUCCCUAUUAAUCAUCUUUAAGAUCAGAGAAUGGAAGUCCUCGGCUUCCUUGUCCCCCACAUCUUUUAGUCUCCUCUUAAAGCUGAAGGUCAUUAUUUUUGGCCUGUCCCAACACUUUUGUCGUAGUUAAGAGAAAGGUUUCAAGGAUGCAUGAGAUGCUUGCCCCGUACAGGGGUGUCCGUCGUGUGGGAACCAUGCUCCCAUAAUCUUGAUUCUGUCUGGUUCAUAGUCCCUGCAAAGUCAUUCCAUCCAGAGUGCAUGAAGAAACAUAGUUCCCACGCUGGAAAGUAAUCUUGGUCCAAUAAUAGUGUUCUCUAGUCGUUUGGUCUUGAGACUAAAGAGAAUGUGCCUGGAUCUUCUGACUGCAAGUAAAUAUUUUUGGGUGUUGUUUUAAGUUUUUUGCUUCUUUUGUUAAAAAAUACUUUUUUACGGUGUUGCGGUCUUGAAAGUAAGGGAGCCUCAAAUUUUUACUUAUAAACUGCAAGCAUGUUUUAGAAUUUUUGUUUUAUUUAUUUAUUUAUUUAAAAUAAACGCGCUUGAUGAACAAGAAAGUGUUUCUUUCUUGAGAAAAUGUAAAUCUGGUCUGGUCCCUCGGGUAGCACCAACUGUGAGAGAAUGUGUCUUGAACAUUUGAUUCCCUAGUAAAUAUGUUCAUGUUUGUCGCUUCGGAAGUGAAAGCUAUCAUGAUGGGCACCCUCUCUCCCUUAGACGUUGCGAUGGAUUUCCUAGUAUGUGAUAGCCAUGGACAAAAGAUAUGUGUGCUCGGUUAUGGGGACUGUCAGAUUUAGUUUAUUCGAGAAAGGUUGUUGAUAUGUGUUUUGAAGCUUGACUUACGAAAUAUAGUUGGGGGAGGAUCAAAAUUGGCCGGGUCUCUUGAGUAGAAAACAUUAUUUAUGCGGCCCUUGCAUUCAUAAUGAAUGUUGUAUUUGAGAUUCUCGGCCCAAAACGUAAGAGGUUCAAUUCCAUAUUAAAUACCUUUCAAAGCCAAUAUUUCAUUUGGAAAGUUAAAGGUUGUUGAUAUGUGUUUUGAAGCUUGACUUACGAAAUAUAGCUGGGGGAGGAUCAAAACUGGCCGGGUCUCUUGAGUAUAAAACAUUAUUUAUGCGUCCCUUGCAUUCAUAAUGAAUGUUGUAUUUGAGAUUCUGGGUCCAAAACGUAAGAGCUUCAAUUCCAUAUUAAAUACCUUUCAGUCCCAAAAUGCUAGGAAAGCCAAUAUUUCAUUUUGAACGUUAAAGGUUGUUGAUAUGUGUUUUGAAGCUUGACUUACGAAAUAUAGUUGGGGGAGGAUCAAAGCUGGCCGGGUCUCUUGAGUAGAAAACAUUAUUUAUGCGUCCCUUGCAUUCAUAAUGAAUGUUGUAUUUGAGAUUCUCGGUCCAAAACGUAAGAGCUUCAAUUCCAUAUUAAAUACCUUUCAGUCCCAAAAUGCUAGGAAAGUCAAUAUUUCAUGUUGAAAGUUAAAGGUUGUUGAUAUGUGUUUUGAAGCUUGACUUACGAAAUAUAGUUGGGGGAGGAUCAAAAUUGGCCGGGUCUCUUGAUUUUUCUGCGGCCCCCCCUGCAUUCGUAAUGAAUGUUGUGUUUGAGAUUCUCGGUCCAAAAUGUAAGAGCUUCAAUUCCAUAUUAACUACUUUUCAGUCCCAAAAUACUCGCAAAGCCAAUAUUUCAUUUUGAAAGUUAAAGGUUGUUGAUAUGUGUUUUGAAGCUUGAUUUAUGAAAUAUAGUUGGUGAAGGAUCAAAUUUGGCCGGGUCUCUUGAGUAGAAAACAUCAUUUCUGCGGCCCCUGCAUUCGUAAUGAAUGUUUUAUUUGAGAUUCUCGGUCCAAAAUGUAAGAGCUUCAAUUCCAUAUUAACUAACUCUUACCUUUCAGUCCCAAAAUACUAGGAAAACCAAUAUUUCAUUUUGGAAGUUAAAGAUUUCAAAACAAACUUACGUGCCUCGGUGCAUAAGAAUGCGAAUCUUGAUUUUUGGUGGCAAAAUGCAACUGCUUGCAUCCCUCAAGUCGUGCUACCUCAAAAAUAUGUGGCUUAAAAUCUGGAUCCAAAGUUUUGGUGUGUCGGUUUGAAAGUAAAAGUUUCUUUGAUGACACACUGUUUGUUUUGGACAGUUGGGCGACCCUUCAUGCUUAGCUAUGGCAAUAUGCUUUCCCAACCUAUUCUUAGCAUGGACAGAAAAGUUUGAUGCUAGGGUUAGGGGAAUUGUCAUUGUAUGUGAGGAGGGUUGCCGUUCUUCGUUUUGAAGCCACAUCGAUAAUCUAGAUGCAGCGUUUUAACUAAUUCUUUUAAAAUAGACGUGCCUCGGUAUUUAAGCCAAAGUUUUUCUGUUUUAUGGGGAAAAGUAAAAUUCCUCCGUUCUCUCGGUUGGUUGGAACGUGAAAAGAAAUAUGCCGGGAUCUUUUGAUUGCAAGUAAAUAUAUAUAUAUAUAUAUUUUUAUAUGUGGUUUUAAAGCUUUUUGGCUUUUGUUAAAACAUGUUUUUUUUUUUUUUUUAAAUAGAAAAAAAUUGUUGUCUUAUAGCUUCCUGUUUUGGAAGUGUCCUGGUUUGGGAAGUAGAGGAGACUCGAUUCAUUAUCUAAAACCUAAAAACUGUUUUUAUGUGUUAUUUAUAGAUAAAUGUGACUUGAUGCACAAGAAAAUGAAUUUCGAUUUCUUGGGGCAAUGUAAAUCUGCUUCGGUCCCUUGUGUAGUUCCAUUUUUUAGAAAAGCUUGCAUAGAGACAGAUUCAAGGAGAUUGUGACGACACCACUUCAGAUGCGGUAAUUUGCUUUCCUUGUAUAUGAUAGCCAUGGAUAGAAAAGUUGUAUGCCCGAUUGCGGGAAGUGUCAUAUUUAGUUUACAUAAGAUAGAGGAGAUAUGUUUUGAAGGUCUGAAACUCGUGAUCUUUUGCUACGAAAAUAUAUAAUUCUAAGUCCCGUAUUCAGAAAGUAAAAGGCCUCAGUUAAUCUUUUUGAAAGAGAGGGUGUCCAUUUAUUUUUCGAAAAUAAUUUUUUUUUUUGCUGGUCCCUGAGCAAACGUUCCUCAGUUUUUUGGGGCAAUGUGAGAUUUAGCUGGUCCCUUGGAUAAAGUUUCUUGAUCUUUUGCUUUAAAAAUAAAUCUACAGGUGUCCCGGCUGGAAAAGUAAGCGGAGCUCAAGUAGUUUUUUAGAAACUGAAAGCGUGUUCUAUCGAUUAUUUAAAAGAUAAAUGUGCCUUGGUGCAAAAGAAAAUGACUUUGGAUUUGCUGCAGCAGAGUAAAACUUUUUUGAUGCCUUGGGUUUUCGGAACUCUAAAAGUUGUGGUUUGGACUUUUGAUUCAAAGCAAGUAUUUUUCAGAAUAUGUUGGUUUAAAGAAAAAGUUACUGUGAUGACACCCCUUCUUUUGGAGAGUUGGCAACCUUUCUCUUUAUAUAACUGCCAGUGUCCGUUCUCAAUCAUUCAUUGCUGCGGACGAAAGACAUAGAUGCUCUUAUUUGAGAAAGGUCUUUGUUCUUGAUUUUGAAGCCAAUUUAAUGGACUUCAGUAAAAGUGGCUGAAUUAAUUGUUUCGCAAAUGAGAGUGCUUUGGUUUAUUAUUGUUUCAAAAUAAAUGUACUUUGACGUCCAGGCAAUGGAUUUUCAAUUUCUUGGGAGAGAGAGUAAAAUUCGCCCCAUCGCCCGGCUUGUUGGAACUCAAAAACAGUAUGCGUGGACGUUAUUUGUUCGCGAGUUAAUAUUUUUGGUAUGCUGUUUGUUUGUUGCUUUUGUUUAACAAUAAUUGCUUACGGUUGUCCCGUAUGGAACGUGUCCAGGCUUGGAAUGCAAGAGAGCCUCAAUUUAUUAUUUUGGAGCGUAAAAGUGUGUUGUUUCAAUUGCCUGAAACAAAUUACCUCGAUGGAUAAGAAUUUUUUUUUUUUUUUUUUUUGUUUCUUUGUUGGGGCAAUUGAAAUCUUCUCCGGUCCAGUUCUAGUUGUAGAAAACGUGCGUUGAGCUUUUGACUCAACGAAAACACGUUUCUGUAUGUGGGUUUGAAAGUAGGAUCCAAUUUGAUGGCAUGAUUCCUCUUAAGAGGUUUGAGAAUCUGCAAGUAAAAGCUAUCAUGUGCGCGCUAUUGCUCUUAGAGAUUUGGAUAUUCGUCCUCCUAAUCUUUUAGGGCCCCGGGCUAAAGAUGUGUGGGUUUGGUUAUGGUAUCUCACAGUUUAUUUGAGGACUUUUGCUGUUUGUUUCUUUCAUAUCUUAUCACACAAACUACAGACUUGUAUGCUUAGUGUUGUGUUACUUUUACAAGAAAGAUUGUUCUGUUUAUCUCCAUUUCACCCUACAUAUUAAGACUUGGUGGAAAAUGAUGUCAUUUUGAUUUCUUAGGCCCAAAGUACUUGCAGCUUACGUUUGUGUCUCUACUUGGGUGUGCCAUUAUCUUUCUUCUUGGUUCGCUGGUAGGUUAUACGAAAAAAUUUUAAUUCUUGAAAUUGGUGAGCUACCGUACAUGUCCGGGUUACAACGAAUGCCGCCGUUAAGUUACCAAUAUUUGUAACCUACAACUUUGCACCAAACUUCAGCAGUGUCAGUUGAUCUCUUAGACUUUUGUACGUUUACUUUUUCAAGUUUUUCGUUUAAAAUCUUUAUCUAGCGGCAAUUCAAGGAUUAAUAUAGAGAGUGGAAUAUUUUACUUCAAAUACUUGGAGAGUAACUAUAUGCUGUAUUUGUCUUGGUUCUAAUCACUGUAGUAACGCAGGUCAUCUUCAUAAAUUUAGCGAGAAAACUAUUUGAAAGAACUAAACCUUCGAAGUAUAUCUAAGUAAAACUUCAUCUUGUAACAUCUUUUUUCUUUCUCCUUUUUGUGUAAGCAGUAUCUGUGGUUAAAAGGGAUUGAUACGCUUUAAUAUGCAGGACAACUACGAAGCUUGGCAUAACGGCGACAAUAUUAUGUUGCUGACUUUUCUUUGCUGUAGGUAUUUACUGGAGACUCGUUUGAGUUGAAAAAAUGGAGUUUCUUCCAGCUGCUAUCUACACAAACAACGUGUGCUGCGCGGAGUGCGAGUAUUUUAGAAUUAGAUAAUACUUCAAAUAAUCUUUAAGAUAUCAUGAUGGAAGUCCUCAGCUUCCCUGUCCCCCACGUGUUUUGGUCUCCCCUUAAAGCUGAAGGUCAUUACUUUUGGCCUGUCCAUGCUGUCGCUGUGGUUAUGAGAGAAAGGUUUCGAGGAUGCAUGAGAUGCUUGCCCCGUACAGGGGCGUCCGUGGUGUGGGAACCAAGCUCCCAUAAUCUUGAUCCCGUCUGGUUCAUAGUCCCUGCAAGGUCAUGCCAUCCAAAGUGCACAAAAGAAACAUAGUUCCCACGUUGGAAACUAAUGAUAGUGUUCGGCACCAUAUUCUGACAAUAAUAAAAUCCUCGUUCGGCAAGGGUAUGGAUUGCUGGCUCAGUGGGUAUGCAGUAUCUAUUUACACUCUGUGUCUCUUGGUGCUGGAUUCAAAUAUUUUUCUCUUGGAGUAAAAAGGUACAUGUGUGUAUUAAUAUUGGUUCCAAGGGGGUACUGCGCAAUUGCAAAAUUUUUUUACAGGUCUGCAAGAUUCAAAUAAUGGGAGGAGUAGUGCAAUUUGGCGUGCGGCCAAAACGUUGGCUUGGCAAGGGCUCAGUUUGAAAGGUGAGAAAAUGAGCAGAAAGGAUAAUUUAGUAAAUUUUCUCACUGAACUGUUUCUACUUAAUAGAUUUGUACUCUCGGCCAAGGAAGAAGUGCCAAAUCACUUCAUAACAUUAAUAUGUUACUUUUUAUUUUUAAUUCUAAAAAAUAGAAAAAGAUACCAUGUGAUAUUUUUCAGUAUUUAUAUGCAUACAUAUUUCAUUA
Molecule: non-coding RNA, 8135 nt
Organism: Carica papaya (papaya)
Lineage: Eukaryota; Viridiplantae; Streptophyta; Magnoliopsida; Brassicales; Caricaceae
Source: RefSeq, a predicted model, not a curated record